GACGAACGCUGGCGGCGUGCUUAACACAUGCAAGUCGAACGAGCGGCGAACGGGUGAGUAAUACGUGAGUAACCUGCCCUCUUUUUGGGAUAAGCCUUGGAAACGGGGUCUAAUACCGGAUACAGGGGGAUGGGCUCGCGGCCUAUCAGCGUGUUGGUGGGGUGAUGGCCUACCAAGGCGGUGACGGGUAGCCGGCCUGAGAGGGUGACGUGCGACAGUGGGACGGAGAAAGGGCCCGGGGUCUUACGGGGGGCGGCAGUUGGGGAAAUUGCACAAAGGGCGAAGGGCGGAUGCGGCGAGGCCGCGUGGGGGAUGAAGGCUUUAGGGUUGUAAGCCUCUUUCGCUAUCGAAGGGUAGGGGGAGAAGAAGCGCCGGCUAACUACGUGCCAGCAGCCGCGGUAAUUC
Molecule: ribosomal RNA, 405 nt
Filed under: uncultured bacterium
Lineage: Bacteria
Description: partial 16S ribosomal RNA
Rfam family: Bacterial small subunit ribosomal RNA
Source: RNAcentral